UUAGAGUUUGAUCAUGGCUCAGAUUGAACGCUGGCGGCAGGCCUAACACAUGCAAGUCGAGCGGUAGCACAGAGAGCUUGCUCUCGGGUGACGAGCGGCGGACGGGUGAGUAAUGUCUGGGAAACUGCCUGAUGGAGGGGGAUAACUACUGGAAACGGUAGCUAAUACCGCAUAAUGUCGCAAGACCAAAGAGGGGGACCUUCGGGCCUCUUGCCAUCAGAUGUGCCCAGAUGGGAUUAGCUAGUAGGUGGGGUAACGGCUCACCUAGGCGACGAUCCCUAGCUGGUCUGAGAGGAUGACCAGCCACACUGGAACUGAGACACGGUCCAGACUCCUACGGGAGGCAGCAGUGGGGAAUAUUGCACAAUGGGCGCAAGCCUGAUGCAGCCAUGCCGCGUGUAUGAAGAAGGCCUUCGGGUUGUAAAGUACUUUCAGCGGGGAGGAAGGCGAUAAGGUUAAUAACCUUGUCGAUUGACGUUACCCGCAGAAGAAGCACCGGCUAACUCCGUGCCAGCAGCCGCGGUAAUACGGAGGGUGCAAGCGUUAAUCGGAAUUACUGGGCGUAAAGCGCACGCAGGCGGUCUGUCAAGUCGGAUGUGAAAUCCCCGGGCUCAACCUGGGAACUGCAUUCGAAACUGGCAGGCUAGAGUCUUGUAGAGGGGGGUAGAAUUCCAGGUGUAGCGGUGAAAUGCGUAGAGAUCUGGAGGAAUACCGGUGGCGAAGGCGGCCCCCUGGACAAAGACUGACGCUCAGGUGCGAAAGCGUGGGGAGCAAACAGGAUUAGAUACCCUGGUAGUCCACGCCGUAAACGAUGUCGACUUGGAGGUUGUGCCCUUGAGGCGUGGCUUCCGGAGCUAACGCGUUAAGUCGACCGCCUGGGGAGUACGGCCGCAAGGUUAAAACUCAAAUGAAUUGACGGGGGCCCGCACAAGCGGUGGAGCAUGUGGUUUAAUUCGAUGCAACGCGAAGAACCUUACCUACUCUUGACAUCCAGAGAACUUUCCAGAGAUGGAUUGGUGCCUUCGGGAACUCUGAGACAGGUGCUGCAUGGCUGUCGUCAGCUCGUGUUGUGAAAUGUUGGGUUAAGUCCCGCAACGAGCGCAACCCUUAUCCUUUGUUGCCAGCGGUUAGGCCGGGAACUCAAAGGAGACUGCCAGUGAUAAACUGGAGGAAGGUGGGGAUGACGUCAAGUCAUCAUGGCCCUUACGAGUAGGGCUACACACGUGCUACAAUGGCGCAUACAAAGAGAAGCGACCUCGCGAGAGCAAGCGGACCUCAUAAAGUGCGUCGUAGUCCGGAUUGGAGUCUGCAACUCGACUCCAUGAAGUCGGAAUCGCUAGUAAUCGUAGAUCAGAAUGCUACGGUGAAUACGUUCCCGGGCCUUGUA
RNAcentral lists this ribosomal RNA (1387 nucleotides) under unidentified marine bacterioplankton. Its description in RNAcentral is "bacterial SSU rRNA". It matches the Rfam family "Bacterial small subunit ribosomal RNA". The record is from RNAcentral.